This 84-nucleotide non-coding RNA is filed under the name bovine gut metagenome. RNAcentral describes it as "TPP riboswitch (THI element)". The stretch from base 1 to 74 matches the Rfam family "TPP riboswitch aptamer (THI element)", at positions 9 to 90 of the family's 105-position model. Rfam says of the family: Vitamin B(1) in its active form thiamin pyrophosphate (TPP) is an essential coenzyme that is synthesised by coupling of pyrimidine and thiazole moieties in bacteria. The previously detected thiamin-regulatory element, thi box was extended, resulting in a new, highly conserved RNA secondary structure, the THI element, which is widely distributed in eubacteria and also occurs in some archaea. The record is from RNAcentral.
ACAGGGGUGCCUUGAGGCUGAGAUGCGUAUGCGAUCCCUUAUGACCUGAACUAGGUAAUGCUAGCGUAGGGAGUCUUAUAUGUU